RNAcentral lists this ribosomal RNA (529 nucleotides) under uncultured Pseudomonadota bacterium. Its description in RNAcentral is "bacterial SSU rRNA". It matches the Rfam family "Bacterial small subunit ribosomal RNA", at positions 376 to 896 of the family's 1533-position model. The record is from RNAcentral. Lineage: Bacteria; Pseudomonadati; Pseudomonadota.
CGAAAGCCUGACCCAGCGACGCCGCGUGAGGGAUGAAGGCCUUCGGGUCGUAAACCUCUGUCGGGAGGGAAGAACGUCGGCGAGGUAACAAUCUCGUCGGUUGACGGUACCUCCAAAGGAAGCGCCGGCUAACUCCGUGCCAGCAGCCGCGGUAAUACGGAGGGCGCAAGCGUUGUUCGGAAUCACUGGGCGUAAAGCGCGUGUAGGCGGCCGGGCAAGUCGGAUGUGAAAUCCCGAGGCUCAACCUCGGAACUGCAUUCGAAACUGCUCGGCUCGAGUCCCGGAGAGGAUGGCGGAAUUCCCGGUGUAGGGGUGAAAUCCGUAGAUAUCGGGAGGAACACCAGUGGCGAAGGCGGCCAUCUGGACGGUGACUGACGCUGAGACGCGAAAGCGUGGGGAGCAAACAGGAUUAGAUACCCUGGUAGUCCACGCCGUAAACGGUGAGUGCUAGACGUCGCGGGUAUUGACCCCCGCGGUGUCGAAGCUAACGCGUUAAGCACUCCGCCUGGGGAGUACGGCCGCAAGGCUA